Molecule: ribosomal RNA, 236 nt
Filed under: uncultured bacterium
Lineage: Bacteria
Description: partial 16S ribosomal RNA
Rfam family: Bacterial small subunit ribosomal RNA
Source: RNAcentral
UAACCUGCCUUAUAGUGGGGGAUAGCCUUUCGAAAGGAAGAUUAAUACCGCAUAAGAUUGUAGUAUCGCAUGAUAUAGCAAUUAAAGGAGCAAUCCGCUAUAAGAUGGACCCGCGUCGCAUUAGCUAGUUGGUGAGGUGAUGGCUCACCAAGGCGACGAUGCGUAGCCGACCUGAGAGGGUGAUCGGCCACAUUGGGACUGAGACACGGCCCAGACUCCUACGGGAGGCAGCAUGA